CUUUAGUAACGGCGAGUGAACAAGAAAUAGCCCAACGCUGAAUCCUAUAGUUUUUGACAACUAUUAGGAACUGUAGCGUAUAGGUGCAACUGUUCAACGGCUUUGCAUACUCCAAGUUCCCUUGACUGAGGCCACAGUCCAGAGAAGGUGCUAGACCUGUAGGAGUAGURAAACCGUUUGAUAUUGGUUGUUCCAUUGAGUCGAGUUGUUUGAAAUUGCAGCUCAAAGUAGGUGGUAAACCUCAUCUAAGGCUAAAUACGACCACGAGACCGAUAGCAAACAAGUACCGUGAGGGAAAGUUGCAAAGAACUUUGAAGAGAGAGUUCAAGAGGGCGUGAAACCGCUUAGAUGGAAGCGGAUAGAGUUAACAAAACACAGCAGCAAUCAUCCGAUUAGAUGUUGAACGUGUCGGCUGUUGACGCUUACAACCUGUACUGUUGCACUUGUGUAGCAGGAGGGCAGUUUGUGUUCGGUUGAUGUGUACAAUGUUUGACCGGUGCUCUUGCUGUUGUUAUGCAUUGAGGGGCUUGCAAAGGUACGGGAACACUUGAACAUCAGAGGCCUACAUUUUAUGAAUGCAGAAACCUUAUGUUUGUGUUUUUUUUCCGCUAUCCUUUGUAAGUUAGUGCUUUCGUAACUGCGCCUGCUGUUAGCGUAAUUCAACUGCAUUGUUGUAGACGUAGUGUAGUAUGGAUUUGUCGCUUGUCGGCUUGUCCUAUUCUCUAUGUUUGCAUCGUUGAUGCUGGUUGUUAAUUACUGGUUAGGCGUUGGCUCCACAGUGUAUACAAAAAGUUAAUCACCUAUCCGACCCGUCUUGAAACACGGACCAAGGAGUUUAGCAUAUAUGCAAGUCAUUGGGUGUUUAAAACCUAAAGGCGUAAUGAAAAUAAUAAUAUGGGAUCUGUAUGCUGUGUGUAUAAUGCGUACAGCGCACCAUAGUCCUGCUAAUAUUGCUUGCAAUAUAGCGGAGAUAGAGCAUAUAUGCUGAGACCCGAAAGAUGGUGAACUAUGCUUGAGCAGGAUGAAGCCAGAGGAAACUCUGGUGGAAGUCCGAAGUGGUUCUGACGUGCAAAUCGAUCACCUGACUUGAGUAUAG
RNAcentral lists this ribosomal RNA (1096 nucleotides) under Spauligodon atlanticus. Its description in RNAcentral is "eukaryotic LSU rRNA". It matches the Rfam family "Eukaryotic large subunit ribosomal RNA", at positions 78 to 920 of the family's 3401-position model. Lineage: Eukaryota; Metazoa; Nematoda; Chromadorea; Rhabditida; Pharyngodonidae. The record is from RNAcentral.